AGCGUACACGGUGGAUGCCCUGGCAGUCAGAGGCGAUGAAGGACGUGCUAAUCUGCGAUAAGCGUCGGUGAGGUGAUAUGAACCGUUAUAACCGGCGAUUUCCGAAUGGGGAAACCCAGUGUGUUUCGACACACUAUCAUUAACUGAAUCCAUAGGUUAAUGAGGCGAACCGGGGGAACUGAAACAUCUAAGUACCCCGAGGAAAAGAAAUCAACCGAGAUUCCCCCAGUAGCGGCGAGCGAACGGGGAGGAGCCCAGAGCCUGAAUCAGUGUGUGUGUUAGUGGAAGCGUCUGGAAAGGCGCGCGAUACAGGGUGACAGCCCCGUACACAAAAAUGCACAUAUUGUGAGCUCGAUGAGUAGGGCGGGACACGUGGUAUCCUGUCUGAAUAUGGGGGGACCAUCCUCCAAGGCUAAAUACUCCUGACUGACCGAUAGUGAACCAGUACCGUGAGGGAAAGGCGAAAAGAACCCCGGCGAGGGGAGUGAAAAAGAACCUGAAACCGUGUACGUACAAGCAGUGGGAGCCUCUUAAUGGGGUGACUGCGUACCUUUUGUAUAAUGGGUCAGCGACUUAUAUUCUGUAGCAAGGUUAACCGAAUAGGGGAGCCGAAGGGAAACCGAGUCUUAACUGGGCGUUAAGUUGCAGGGUAUAGACCCGAAACCCGGUGAUCUAGCCAUGGGCAGGUUGAAGGUUGGGUAACACUAACUGGAGGACCGAACCGACUAAUGUUGAAAAAUUAGCGGAUGACUUGUGGCUGGGGGUGAAAGGCCAAUCAAACCGGGAGAUAGCUGGUUCUCCCCGAAAGCUAUUUAGGUAGCGCCUCGUGAAUUCAUCUCCGGGGGUAGAGCACUGUUUCGGCAAGGGGGUCAUCCCGACUUACCAACCCGAUGCAAACUGCGAAUACCGGAGAAUGUUAUCACGGGAGACACACGGCGGGUGCUAACGUCCGUCGUGAAGAGGGAAACAACCCAGACCGCCAGCUAAGGUCCCAAAGUCAUGGUUAAGUGGGAAACGAUGUGGGAAGGCCCAGACAGCCAGGAUGUUGGCUUAGAAGCAGCCAUCAUUUAAAGAAAGCGUAAUAGCUCACUGGUCGAGUCGGCCUGCGCGGAAGAUGUAACGGGGCUAAACCAUGCACCGAAGCUGCGGCAGCGACGCUUAUGCGUUGUUGGGUAGGGGAGCGUUCUGUAAGCCUGUGAAGGUGUGCUGUGAGGCAUGCUGGAGGUAUCAGAAGUGCGAAUGCUGACAUAAGUAACGAUAAAGCGGGUGAAAAGCCCGCUCGCCGGAAGACCAAGGGUUCCUGUCCAACGUUAAUCGGGGCAGGGUGAGUCGACCCCUAAGGCGAGGCCGAAAGGCGUAGUCGAUGGGAAACAGGUUAAUAUUCCUGUACUUGGUGUUACUGCGAAGGGGGGACGGAGAAGGCUAUGUUGGCCGGGCGACGGUUGUCCCGGUUUAAGCGUGUAGGCUGGUUUUCCAGGCAAAUCCGGAAAACCAAGGCUGAGGCGUGAUGACGAGGCACUACGGUGCUGAAGCAACAAAUGCCCUGCUUCCAGGAAAAGCCUCUAAGCAUCAGGUAACAUCAAAUCGUACCCCAAACCGACACAGGUGGUCAGGUAGAGAAUACCAAGGCGCUUGAGAGAACUCGGGUGAAGGAACUAGGCAAAAUGGUGCCGUAACUUCGGGAGAAGGCACGCUGAUAUGUAGGUGAAGCGACUUGCUCGUGGAGCUGAAAUCAGUCGAAGAUACCAGCUGGCUGCAACUGUUUAUUAAAAACACAGCACUGUGCAAACACGAAAGUGGACGUAUACGGUGUGACGCCUGCCCGGUGCCGGAAGGUUAAUUGAUGGGGUUAGCGGUAACGCGAAGCUCUUGAUCGAAGCCCCGGUAAACGGCGGCCGUAACUAUAACGGUCCUAAGGUAGCGAAAUUCCUUGUCGGGUAAGUUCCGACCUGCACGAAUGGCGUAAUGAUGGCCAGGCUGUCUCCACCCGAGACUCAGUGAAAUUGAACUCGCUGUGAAGAUGCAGUGUACCCGCGGCAAGACGGAAAGACCCCGUGAACCUUUACUAUAGCUUGACACUGAACAUUGAGCCUUGAUGUGUAGGAUAGGUGGGAGGCUUUGAAGUGUGGACGCCAGUCUGCAUGGAGCCGACCUUGAAAUACCACCCUUUAAUGUUUGAUGUUCUAACGUUGGCCCGUAAUCCGGGUUGCGGACAGUGUCUGGUGGGUAGUUUGACUGGGGCGGUCUCCUCCUAAAGAGUAACGGAGGAGCACGAAGGUUGGCUAAUCCUGGUCGGACAUCAGGAGGUUAGUGCAAUGGCAUAAGCCAGCUUGACUGCGAGCGUGACGGCGCGAGCAGGUGCGAAAGCAGGUCAUAGUGAUCCGGUGGUUCUGAAUGGAAGGGCCAUCGCUCAACGGAUAAAAGGUACUCCGGGGAUAACAGGCUGAUACCGCCCAAGAGUUCAUAUCGACGGCGGUGUUUGGCACCUCGAUGUCGGCUCAUCACAUCCUGGGGCUGAAGUAGGUCCCAAGGGUAUGGCUGUUCGCCAUUUAAAGUGGUACGCGAGCUGGGUUUAGAACGUCGUGAGACAGUUCGGUCCCUAUCUGCCGUGGGCGCUGGAGAACUGAGGGGGGCUGCUCCUAGUACGAGAGGACCGGAGUGGACGCAUCACUGGUGUUCGGGUUGUCAUGCCAAUGGCACUGCCCGGUAGCUAAAUGCGGAAGAGAUAAGUGCUGAAAGCAUCUAAGCACGAAACUUGCCCCGAGAUGAGUUCU
Molecule: ribosomal RNA, 2774 nt
Filed under: Escherichia coli
Lineage: Bacteria; Pseudomonadati; Pseudomonadota; Gammaproteobacteria; Enterobacterales; Enterobacteriaceae
Description: bacterial LSU rRNA
Rfam family: Bacterial large subunit ribosomal RNA
Source: RNAcentral